This 429-nucleotide ribosomal RNA is filed under the name Actinomycetes bacterium. Its description in RNAcentral is "Actinobacteria bacterium partial 16S ribosomal RNA". It matches the Rfam family "Bacterial small subunit ribosomal RNA", at positions 355 to 776 of the family's 1533-position model. Lineage: Bacteria; Bacillati; Actinomycetota; Actinomycetes. The record is from RNAcentral.
UAGGGAAUCUUCCGCAAUGGGCGAAAGCCUGACGGAGCAACGCCGCGUGAGUGAUGAAGGUCUUCGGAUCGUAAAACUCUGUUAUUAGGGAAGAACAAAUGUGUAAGUAACUAUGCACGUCUUGACGGUACCUAAUCAGAAAGCCACGGCUAACUACGUUCCAGCAGCCGCGGUAAUACGUAGGUGGCAAGCGUUAUCCGGAAUUAUUGGGCGUAAAGCGCGCGUAGGCGGUUUUUUAAGUCUGAUGUGAAAGCCCACGGCUCAACCGUGGAGGGUCAUUGGAAACUGGAAAACUUGAGUGCAGAAGAGGAAAGUGGAAUUCCAUGUGUAGCAGUGAAAUGCGCAGAGAUAUGGAGGAACACCAGUGGCGAAGGCGACUUUCUGGUCUGUAACUGACGCUGAUGUGCGAAAGCGUGGGGAUCAAACAGG